Molecule: long non-coding RNA, 102 nt
Organism: Octodon degus (degu)
Lineage: Eukaryota; Metazoa; Chordata; Mammalia; Rodentia; Octodontidae
Exons: 4
Source: RefSeq, a predicted model, not a curated record
GGCUGCAGAGGCUCGGGCAUGUGCACCACACGGGUGAACAGGCCUACAUGGCCGUGGCAAGGAGGUGCCACACUGUGAGGCCCUGGUGCAGGCUGGCUUCUU